RNAcentral lists this ribosomal RNA (252 nucleotides) under Veillonella atypica KON. Its description in RNAcentral is "partial 16S ribosomal RNA". It matches the Rfam family "Bacterial small subunit ribosomal RNA", at positions 524 to 776 of the family's 1533-position model. RNAcentral also lists the same sequence under 1 other name. Lineage: Bacteria; Bacillati; Bacillota; Negativicutes; Veillonellales; Veillonellaceae. The record is from RNAcentral.
UACGUAGGUGGCAAGCGUUGUCCGGAAUUAUUGGGCGUAAAGCGCGCGCAGGCGGAUCAGUUAGUCUGUCUUAAAAGUUCGGGGCUUAACCCCGUGAUGGGAUGGAAACUGCUGAUCUAGAGUAUCGGAGAGGAAAGUGGAAUUCCUAGUGUAGCGGUGAAAUGCGUAGAUAUUAGGAAGAACACCAGUGGCGAAGGCGACUUUCUGGACGAAAACUGACGCUGAGGCGCGAAAGCCAGGGGAGCGAACGGG